Molecule: long non-coding RNA, 426 nt
Filed under: Capsella rubella
Lineage: Eukaryota; Viridiplantae; Streptophyta; Magnoliopsida; Brassicales; Brassicaceae
Description: long non-coding RNA (CRUB_LNC004530)
Source: RNAcentral
GGCUCAACUGUCAAUUAUGUUAUCCCAUCCCAAGUCGAGAAAGACAAAGCAAAAAGGAGCUGAGAAACGCUCACCUCAGCUUCUGAUGGUAAAUGGCAAGAUGAUUAGAUCACAGGACAUGAUCAGGAUCACUCAGCUUUGGAUGACAACCUUCUUUAAACAGCGCCAAGGGUACAUUCUGGCCAUUAAAAAAAAAAACUUCUUUCUCCAUCAUCCAUCAGACUUUACAGCUUUGCAUAGCUAGUAUUGUAUAGAUUUCUUAAUUACAGAUUGGUACACAAAGUUUAUAUUUUUAAGUCAAAUGCAUUCUCCCAUAGAUGUAUGAAUCCAAAACAUGAUGCUUCGUUAGGUUUGGUUUGCCUUUUCUGCAUUACACAAAACAAGUUAUCUUUGUUUUCUUUAAACUCUGUUUUAAGCUUUACAUGG